This 959-nucleotide long non-coding RNA is filed under the name Homo sapiens (human). RNAcentral's name for it is "non-protein coding lnc-HMGN5-2:1". The record is from RNAcentral. Lineage: Eukaryota; Metazoa; Chordata; Mammalia; Primates; Hominidae.
CAGAGAGAACAAGACCUGAGACUAAUUAAUGAAGGAGAUGUUCCACAUUUACCAGUUAAUAGAGCAUACUCUGUUAAUGGUGCUCUGAGAAGUCCAAACAUGGACAUAUCUUCUUCCCCAAACAUCAGGCUUCGAAGACAUAGUAGUCAAAUUGAAGGUGUUAGACAAAUGCAUAACAAUGCUCCUCGGAGCCAGAUGGCCACUGAAAGAGAUCUCAUGGCGUGGAGCAGAAGAGUGGUGGUCAAUGAACUAAAUAAUGGGGUUAGUAGGUGAGUCAAUAAGGUAACAUUUAGAAAAAAAUUUAAAGCUUUAUUCUUAGGAAGUGAAUUGAAAUGUACUAUGUUAGCCUAGUAAAUGAGGAAUUUUAAAAUAUAGUUUAGUCAUGCAUUAGUUUUUCCAUAUUAUUCCAGUGAGUUCACUUCGUAACAAAUAAUGAUCAUCUUCAGCUUUGUGCUGAAUGCUUUGGGGAAUAUUGAAAAUGCAAAACAUUAUCUCUGUUCUGAGUUUAUAGCCUAGAUUAGAAGAAAAGAAUACAAGUAGUAUUAAGAACUCAUGAGGUCUUACAUAAUUAAAUAUGUGAGUGAUAUAUGGACCCUAACAUUGGAGCAGCCUGGGAGUACAAUUAUUUGUUAGAUGCUAGUGCUUAGAGUAUCUUUAGAAAUGUCAUUUAGGUAGGCUUCAUUGGGUGAAAGAAUUUCAUUAGGAUUAAUUUCAAACUUAUAAUCCCUAUUCAUAUUUGUAAACCCUGACAUUUGCUGUAAUAAUAACUUUCAGAUACUCCACAGCAACUGGAAAUAGAUUUAGAAAAGAGAAAGGACAUUUACAGAGAAUAUGUACAAUUCAUUUUAAUCAAGUAUCUUCCUAACCAAGCCUUUUACCAGAUCAACCAACAAAUAGCAAAAUUAAUUUGGUUUCUCCUUUUCUUCUGCUUUCUGCUAUAAGAAGGCAGCAGUGAUAAG